UUGCAAUUAAUUUUAAAAAUUAUAUUUUUAUAUGUGUAUUAAAGAAUCUGCAAUUCCACUUUUCAAAUUUUUUGAAGAAAAUGAAGGGAAACAAUUUGGAAAAAUUGAAAAAGGCUGUAAGUUCAUCCUUGGAUUGAGAAAGUGUGAGUGCAGAUUUAUGUCAAGCACUUAUGCCUGCUCCAUCAUUAAGUGUUGGUCCAACUCCAAGUAUUGACAAGUCCCUAUCCAAGGAUUCUCAAUGUGCAUUUUCUGCAUUAAGCAAGCCACAAAUUAUUCCACCAAAUAUGCCACAACCUGAUGCUAAUGAAAUUGAUGAAGGUAACAUGACACAAUCUGCUGCACAUCCUAUAUUGAAAUCUAGGAGUGGGGUUUGG
Molecule: unclassified non-coding RNA, 374 nt
Filed under: Hevea brasiliensis (rubber tree)
Lineage: Eukaryota; Viridiplantae; Streptophyta; Magnoliopsida; Malpighiales; Euphorbiaceae
Source: RNAcentral